RNAcentral lists this transfer RNA (69 nucleotides) under Ictidomys tridecemlineatus (thirteen-lined ground squirrel). Its description in RNAcentral is "Spermophilus tridecemlineatus (thirteen-lined ground squirrel) tRNA". It matches the Rfam family "tRNA". Rfam says of the family: Transfer RNA (tRNA) molecules are approximately 80 nucleotides in length. The record is from Rfam by way of RNAcentral. Lineage: Eukaryota; Metazoa; Chordata; Mammalia; Rodentia; Sciuridae.
GGGGAUAUAACUCAGUUGGUUGAGUGCUUGCCUUACAUGCAGAAAGCCCUGGUUCAAUCCCUGGCACCA